Molecule: long non-coding RNA, 1548 nt
Organism: Triticum dicoccoides
Lineage: Eukaryota; Viridiplantae; Streptophyta; Magnoliopsida; Poales; Poaceae
Exons: 2
Source: RefSeq, a predicted model, not a curated record
GUCGGUUUGACGUUUAUUGUCGGUGUCUAGAGCCUCGCCCUUAUCGCAUUCAUCCGUGCUGCUCCGCCAGGGGAGGGCCUCGGGCGUUCGCUUCCCUGGGACUCAGGCAUCUGGCGCACGAGCGGCGGUGGCGGUUCAAGGAGGCGAGACCGACCAAGCCCUCGCCACAAGCGCAGGAUCCUACGGUGCGGAGGCCGACGCAUGGGAGGCCGAUGUUGACGCCCUGAUGACACAGAUCGGCUUCGGCUUUGUGAUCGUCUUCACCUCGCUCUCCGGCGUCGGCGCCGGCGUGCGCCAUGUGGUGUCGCUACCAGGGGCGAAGCUUCUGCUGUUCUGCAUGUGGCGUUCUUCGUUUCCUUUUACUGCUGGGGUCGCGAUGACUUCUUUUCCUCUUCUGAUUUGGGUGAGGCGAGUAUCGGUUUUGGUUCCCUUUCAGAGAAAACAAGUGGCGGCGCUGGUUCCUACUCUCAGAAGGCAUGGUGUCGUCGAUCUCUUCAGCGGGCGGGGAGUGUGGUGCUCAGUGCUCUUCUGCUGCGUGUUUGGUGCGUGCUUGGCUGCUUCUUCGUCGGGGUCAGACCUUCUGCUGCUGAUUUCUUCUGCCUCUGCAUCGAUUUCUUUGGGGGGAGGCUGUGAGCUGCGUCGGCUGGUGGGUUUGCAUCCCCUGCGUCCUUCUUCUGCCUGUACUUCAAUUUCAGUCAGAAAGCUGUUACACCUUUCUGUUUCAGUAUGCACACAAGAGUUCACAUGUUUUUGUUUUUAAUUUGAAAAUAGUUAAAUAGUUAAAACAUUCCCCUGUAGAUCCAUAUUUUGUUCCUGAGUGGUUGAAUGUUUUCAUAAAUUACCACAAAUUUUUAAUAAGCGAAAUCAGGGUGUCUUUCUUUAUAUAGUUUGAUGGUGAGUUUAUUCAUAACAUUUGUACAAGUGUUGAACUUUACUAACGGUAGCUCGGCCCAGCAUAAGAAGAUUCAAUAUACAGAAGAUGGUUGCCAACAAGAGCUUGAUGGCGCGGUGGUUAAAAAUACAACCGACAUCUUAACUCUGUGAGCGCUGCUACACAGACGAGAAACGCCAGACGUUUUUCAGACGAUGCAUCAUAUCAAGCCGUGCAUGUGUAGAGCAAAACUGAACAACGCCGUUCAAUCCCACAUCGUCCAGCGUUCGGCCGGGGUGUUGUCGUCCGCAUAGUAGUUUCGUUCGUCUGUCUCGAUUGGUAUGAAACUAUGAAUACAGAGGUAUAUCAGUCCGCGGUUUAUGUAAUACAAGCAUAUGGGGGUUCCAUGCGGACAUAAGGAAUUCACGACGAUUAUUCUCUAUGUAAUUUGUUGAUAAUUUAUUGAGCAUAUAUAUUGAUUUAACAUCAUUUAGUGGAUAUGUCACCAGUCAAGAUAAUGCUGAAUUUAAGAGUUAGAAGUGAUGCUGAAGAAAUUAAGCCACUCGGGCUACCAUCGGUCCGGUGUCCUAUUGAGCAACACAUGUUGUCUUUUAAUGUAGGACACCUUAAUGGUAAUGUGAUAUCUCUCCAACAUAUAAGUUACUUUUAAUCGAUCA